This 156-nucleotide non-coding RNA is filed under the name uncultured Lachnospira sp. Lineage: Bacteria; Bacillati; Bacillota; Clostridia; Lachnospirales; Lachnospiraceae. The record is from RNAcentral.
AAAGCUGAUUGUGAUAGUUCUUAGAUAUUCCAUUCAAUUAUCAGCAACGAUUUGACACGGAUGUCAAAUCGAGCGAAAACGCAACAGGACGUUGCGUAUGAGCGGUUGCGUUCGUAGCAAAAACUUAUAAGGAAUAUCUUAGAAAUAUCCAAUCAG